Molecule: ribosomal RNA, 484 nt
Filed under: uncultured bacterium
Lineage: Bacteria
Description: partial 16S ribosomal RNA
Rfam family: Bacterial small subunit ribosomal RNA
Source: RNAcentral
AUUGAACGCUGGCGGCAUGCUUUACACAUGCAAGUCGAACGGCAGCGCGGGCUUCGGCCUGGCGGCGAGUGGCGAACGGGUGAGUAAUGCAUCGGAACGUGCCCAGUAGUGGGGGAUAGCCCGGUGAAAGCCGGAUUAAUACCGCAUACGACCUGAGGGUGAAAGCGGGGGACCGAAAGGCCUCGCGCUAUUGGAGCGGCCGAUGUCGGAUUAGCUAGUUGGUGGGGUAAAGGCUUACCAAGGCGACGAUCCGUAGCUGGUCUGAGGGGACGACCAGCCACACUGGGACUGAGACACGGCCCAGACUCCUACGGGAGGCAGCAGUGGGGAAUUUUGGACAAUGGGGGCAACCCUGAUCCAGCCAUGCCGCGUGCGGGAAGAAGGCCUUCGGGUUGUAAACCGCUUUUGUUCGGGAAGAAAUCCUCUGGGCUAAUACCCCGGGGGGAUGACGGUACCGGAAGAAUAAGCACCGGCUAACUACGUG